Nyctereutes procyonoides (raccoon dog) is the source of this 922-nucleotide long non-coding RNA. RefSeq lists it as uncharacterized. The record is from RefSeq and is a predicted model, not a curated record. NCBI's taxonomy places the organism in Eukaryota, Metazoa, Chordata, Mammalia, Carnivora, Canidae. The transcript is spliced from 3 exons.
AGAGAGUUCUAGUGGGGGGAGGCUUCCAGUGGGGAGAGGGUUCCAGUGUGUGGGUGGGGAGAGGUCCAGAUGGGGGAGGGUUCCAGUGGGUGGGGAGAGGUCCAGGUUGGGGGGGAUGGUACCAGUGGGGGGAAGGUCCCAGGGUGGAGGGUUCCAAUGGGGGGGAAGAGGUCCAGGUGAGGGGUUCCAGUCGGGGGGAGGAUCCCAGGGGGGAGGGUUCCAGUGGGGGGAGAAAGGGGCACUAAGUACUAAAGGGAAACAGCCCAGAAACCUGGAAAGACGACAGCUCCUCAGGGGCCAUCACUCCCUCAUCUACUGCUAGAUGAACAAGUGUGUUAGCCCUUCAUUCACCGCAGAACCGGAGGCACUGGGGGCCUGCCUCUGCUCUCCAGGAGCUCACACACUCACAGGAGGACUUUCCCACACAUGUGGCUUCAGGGGAAACUGGUCUCUGCUUUUCAGACCCCCUCGCUGUCCAUGCACUCCCAGCACAGUCCUGCCACCUACAUGGGCUCCAGGAAGCACCACGGGCACACACUCCCCACCCCUCCGGACCUCAAGGGAUGUUGGGACACACUGUCUUCAGGGACAGCUACAACAGGAUCUUUCCUUUAGUUUCCUUUUCAGAAGCCACAACUAGCCAUUAGGUUGUAGCCUACAAUUCUGUCCCAAGAUUCCCCAGCUUAUGAAUCAGAAAACCAGCAUCAAAUCUCAGACUGAUACCAACCCUAGGCCUUGGAAACUGGCAAACGAAAGGAGUUCAAGUCUACCGUACCCUCCGAGUGCCAACAGGUCCAGGAUUGCAGAAGUGUCCCUCCUUUGGAUCUCAAGCAGGGGGGAAGCAGCGCUGUCCUCACUAAAACUAUACAAGUAGAGACGACCUAAACGGAUCUGAGGCUCAUCAAGGUCAGGUGCGCUCUAA